ACUGAACGCUGGCGGCAGGCUUAACACAUGCAAGUCGAGCGGGGUGAUGGUGCUUGCACUAUCACUUAGCGGCGGACGGGUGAGUAAUGCUUAGGAAUCUGCCUAUUAGUGGGGGACAACAUCUCGAAAGGGAUGCUAAUACCGCAUACGUCCUACGGGAGAAAGCAGGGGAUCACUUGUGACCUUGCGCUAAUAGAUGAGCCUAAGUCGGAUAGCUAGUUGGUGGGGUAAAGGCCUACCAAGGCGACGAUCUGUAGCGGGUCUGAGAGGAUGAUCCGCCACACUGGGACUGAGACACGGCCCAGACUCCUACGGGAGGCGGCAGUGGGGAAUAUUGGACAAUGGGGGGAACCCUGAUCCAGCCAUGCCGCGUGUGUGAAGAAGGCCUUAUGGUUGUAAAGCACUUUAAGCGAGGAGGAGGCUCUUUUGGUUAAUACCCAAGAUGAGUGGACGUUACUCGCAGAAUAAGCACCGGCUAACUCUGUGCCAGCCGCCGCCGUAA
Molecule: ribosomal RNA, 502 nt
Filed under: uncultured bacterium
Lineage: Bacteria
Description: partial 16S ribosomal RNA
Rfam family: Bacterial small subunit ribosomal RNA
Source: RNAcentral